CAUCAUCCAUGUCUUGCCCACACAAUCAACCUGAUUGUAAGAGAUGCUCUGAAGGUGACGGACAAAGUGUGGACAAAGUGAAAGCAUCUGUGGAAUAAUUCCACUGGAGCACAGUAGGUACUGAAAAACUCAAUUUUACACAAAGCCAGAUGGGAUUGCCUGAGCUGAGGCCUAAACAAGACUGCACAACAAGGUGGAAUUCAACAUUUUAUAUGUUGAAGCGGUUUCUUGAGUCAAAGGAUGCCAUCAUCUCUACCCUGGUCAUUGUCAGGGUAGAGAUGUGCACCUGUUGAUGCUCUGACCCAAGAGGAAUGGGAGGUGGUGGAGGCAGUGUGCACAGUCCUGGAACCCUUUGGCAGGUCACUGUGGAGAUCAGUGGAGAGAGCUAUGUGACAGCCUGAAAAAUGAUACUCCUGUGUAAGGGUCUGCAGCGAAUCACAGCCAGCCGCUAGAGAGAAACCACAGGACAUGUGACAGUGUUGAUGGACACCCUACGUUCAUCAAUGGACAGAAAGUUCCACAGAAUGGAAUAUAAUCACGUGCUAUCAGAAACCACUGCACUUCAUCCCAGGUUUAAGAAGUUAGCUUUCAGUGAUGCCAGAACGAUUGAUGAGGUUCUUCAAAGAAUAACCUCAGCAGCAGGGAGGGACAGCCCCAGCAAUCAGCUGGCUCAGGCAUCAGGGCAACAGGAAUAAGAGGGAUCAGAUGGAGCAGAAGCACCAGCAGUAGUACCACAAACGUCUGCUGUUUGGAUGUUGUUUGACGAAAGAGCAACUGGGGAUGCAGCACAAAGGAAUCCCUCAGCAGAUGCCAUUUUAUUAAUUUUUAUUUCACCUUUAUUUAACCAGGUAGGCCAGUUGAGAACAAGUUCUCAUUUACAACUGCGACCUGGCCAAGAUAAAGCAAAGCAGUGCGACAAAAACAACAACACAGAGUUACACAUAAACAAACGUACAGUCAAUAACACAAUAGAAAAAUCUAUGUACAGAGUGUGCAAAUGUAGA
Molecule: long non-coding RNA, 1004 nt
Organism: Oncorhynchus tshawytscha (Chinook salmon)
Lineage: Eukaryota; Metazoa; Chordata; Actinopteri; Salmoniformes; Salmonidae
Source: Ensembl